RNAcentral lists this ribosomal RNA (253 nucleotides) under uncultured bacterium. RNAcentral's name for it is "partial 16S ribosomal RNA". It matches the Rfam family "Bacterial small subunit ribosomal RNA", at positions 524 to 776 of the family's 1533-position model. The record is from RNAcentral.
UACGUAGGGUGCAAGCGUUGUCCGGAAUUAUUGGGCGUAAAGAGCUCGUAGGCGGUCUGUCGCGUCUGCUGUGAAAACCUGGGGCUUAACCCCGGGCCUGCAGUGGGUACGGGCAGACUAGAGUGCGGUAGGGGAGACUGGAAUUCCUGGUGUAGCGGUGAAAUGCGCAGAUAUCAGGAGGAACACCGGUGGCGAAGGCGGGUCUCUGGACCGGUUCUGACGCUGAUGCGCGAAAGCUAGGGGAGCAAACAGG